This 210-nucleotide non-coding RNA is filed under the name Streptomyces sp. DI166. Its description in RNAcentral is "Streptomyces sRNA 4677". It matches the Rfam family "Streptomyces sRNA 4677". From Rfam's summary of the family: Located in the intergenic region between anti-sigma factor SCO4677 gene and a putative regulatory protein gene SCO4676. scr4677 expression requires the SCO4677 activity and scr4677 sRNA itself seem to affect the levels of the SCO4676-associated transcripts. The record is from Rfam by way of RNAcentral. Lineage: Bacteria; Bacillati; Actinomycetota; Actinomycetes; Kitasatosporales; Streptomycetaceae.
CGCCUCGGCGCGGCGGAACUCCUUGGCGCCAACGAUCGCGUGCCAGGACACACGCUCACUCACGCGAAUGAAUUCGCCAACUCCGCUGGAUUCGGGAUCCUUUGUCUGCCCUACGCUCAGAGCUGCACAACCGCAGACAUGUGACGGCCCCCGCCGGGACUGCCAUCCCAGUGCGAGGGCCUGACCACCGAGGAAGACAAGGACUUCCCG